Solanum verrucosum is the source of this 168-nucleotide long non-coding RNA. RefSeq lists it as uncharacterized. The transcript has 3 exons. NCBI's taxonomy places the organism in Eukaryota, Viridiplantae, Streptophyta, Magnoliopsida, Solanales, Solanaceae. The record is from RefSeq and is a predicted model, not a curated record.
GUCCAGUUGGAUAUGAUAGGGCAGAAAAUAUGACUGAAGUGUAUCGAGAUGUUCAGAGAAGUGAUACUAGUCUAUCAAAGUCUAAAAAGGCAAAAAAAGUGAUUGAAGUGGCUGAAGAUGCUACGAGAAAUCAAACUAGUCCAUGUGAAUAUGAUAGGACAACCAAGG